This 305-nucleotide ribosomal RNA is filed under the name uncultured bacterium. RNAcentral describes it as "bacterial SSU rRNA". It matches the Rfam family "Bacterial small subunit ribosomal RNA", at positions 335 to 656 of the family's 1533-position model. The record is from RNAcentral.
AGCCUACGGGGGGCAGCAGUGGGAAUAUUAGGCAAUGGGCGCAAGCCUGACCCAGCAACGCCGCGUGAAGGAAGAAGGCUUUCGGGUUGUAAACUUCUUUUCUCAGGGACGAAGCAAGUGACGGUACCUGAGGAAUAAGCCACGGCUAACUACGUGCCAGCAGCCGCGGUAAUACGUAGGUGGCAAGCGUUAUCCGGAUUUACUGGGUGUAAAGGGCGUGCAGGCGGGACUGCAAGUCAGAUUUGAAAACCACGGGCUCAACCUGUGGCCUGCAUUUGAAACUGUAGUUCUUGAGUACUUGAGAG